UAGGGGGUAGUGUAUUGGAAGCACAAGGAGUUUUGGUCUCCUUAGAGAGGGUUCAAGCCCCUUCCCCCUAA
RNAcentral lists this transfer RNA (71 nucleotides) under Acanthemblemaria sp. AC-2023. RNAcentral's name for it is "tRNA-Gln". It matches the Rfam family "tRNA". From Rfam's summary of the family: Transfer RNA (tRNA) molecules are approximately 80 nucleotides in length. Their secondary structure includes four short double-helical elements and three loops (D, anti-codon, and T loops). Lineage: Eukaryota; Metazoa; Chordata; Actinopteri; Blenniiformes; Chaenopsidae. The record is from RNAcentral.